AGGGUUUGAUCAUGGCUCAGAAUGAACGCUGGCGGCAUGCCUAACACAUGCAAGUCGAACGAGAUCUUCGGAUCUAGUGGCGCACGGGUGAGUAACGCGUGGGAACCUACCUUUUAGUACGGGACAACGUUUGGAAACGAACGCUAAUACCGUAUACGCCCUCCGGGGGAAAGGUCAGCCGCUAAAAGAGGGGCCCGCGUCUGAUUAGCUUGUUGGUAAGGUAAUGGCUUACCAAGGCUACGAUCAGUAGCUGGUCUGAGAGGAUGAUCAGCCACACUGGGACUGAGACACGGCCCAGACUCCCACGGGAGGCAGCAGUGGGGAAUAUUGGACAAUGGAGGCAACUCUGAUCCAGCAAUGCCGCGUGUGUGAUGAAGGCCCUAGGGUUGUAAAGCACUUUCAACGGUGAAGAUGAUGACGGUAGCCGUAGAAGAAGCCCCGGCUAACUUCGUGCCAGCAGCCGCGGUAAUACGAAGGGGGCGAGCGUUAUUCGGAAUUAUUGGGCGUAAAGGGCUCGCAGGCUGCUUGAACAGUUAGACGUGAAAUCCCCGGGCUCAACCUGGGAACUGCGUUUAAUACUAGCAAGCUAGAGAAAUAGAGAGGAAAGUGGAACUCCCAGUGUAGAGGUGAAAUUCGUAGAUAUUGGGAAGAACACCAGUGGCGAAAGCGACUUUCUGGCUAUUUUCUGACGCUGAGGAGCGAAAGCGUGGGGAGCAAACAGGAUUAGAUACCCUGGUAGUCCACGCCGUAAACGAUGUGUGCUAGAUGUUGGAGGGAUACCUUUCAGUGUCGCAGCUAACGCACUAAGCACACCGCCUGGGAAGUACGGUCGCAAGAUUAAAACUCAAAGGAAUUGACGGGGGCCCGCACAAGCGGUGGAGCAUGUGGUUUAAUUCGACGCAACGCGCAGAACCUUACCAGCCCUUGACAUGUGGAGUUUGGUUAUCAGAGAUGAUUUCCUUCAGUUCGGCUGGCUCCAACACAGGUGCUGCAUGGCUGUCGUCAGCUCGUGUCGUGAGAUGUUGGGUUAAGUCCCGCAACGAGCGCAACCCUCAUCUUUAGUUGCCAUCAGUUCGGCUGGGCACUCUAGAGAAACUGCCUGGGAUGACCAGGAGGAAGGCGAGGAUGACGUCAAGUCCUCAUGGCCCUUAUGGGCUGGGCUACACACGUGCUACAAUGGCGGUGACAAAGGGACGCAAUAGGGCAACCUGGAGCAAAUCCCUAAAAGCCGUCUCAGUUCGGAUUGUUCUCUGCAACUCGAGAGCAUGAAGUUGGAAUCGCUAGUAAUCGUAGAUCAGCAUGCUACGGUGAAUACGUUCCCGGGCCUUGUACACACCGCCCGUCACACCAUGGGAGUUGGUUUUACCCGAAGACGGUAUCCUAACCUUUUAGGAGGGAGCCGGCCACGGUAGGGUCAGCGACUGGGGUGAAGUCGUAACAAGGUAGCCGUA
Molecule: ribosomal RNA, 1451 nt
Filed under: uncultured bacterium
Lineage: Bacteria
Description: bacterial SSU rRNA
Rfam family: Bacterial small subunit ribosomal RNA
Source: RNAcentral